AGAGUUUGAUUAUGGCUCAGGAUGAACGCUAGCUACAGGCUUAACACAUGCAAGUCGAGGGGCAGCAUGAAGUUUGCUUGCAAACUUGAUGGCGACCGGCGCACGGGUGAGUAACGCGUAUCCAACCUUCCCCUUAGUAGGGCAUAGCCCGGCGAAAGUCGGAUUAAUACCCUAUGUUAUUCGUAGAGGACAUCUGAAAUGAAUCAAAGAUUUAUCGCUAAGGGAUGGGGAUGCGUCUGACUAGGUAGUCGGCGGGGUAACGGCCCACCGAGCCUACGAUCAGUAGGGGUUCUGAGAGGAAGGUCCCCCACAUUGGAACUGAGACACGGUCCAAACUCCUACGGGAGGCAGCAGUGAGGAAUAUUGGUCAAUGGACGAGAGUCUGAACCAGCCAAAGUAGCGUGCAGGAUGACGGCCCUAUGGGUUGUAAACUGCUUUUAUACGGGGAUAAAGUGAGGGACGUGUCCCUUUUUGUAGGUACCGUAUGAAUAAGGACCGGCUAAUUCCGUGCCAGCCGCGGC
This 521-nucleotide ribosomal RNA is filed under the name uncultured bacterium. RNAcentral's name for it is "bacterial SSU rRNA". It matches the Rfam family "Bacterial small subunit ribosomal RNA", at positions 8 to 518 of the family's 1533-position model. The record is from RNAcentral.